This 77-nucleotide transfer RNA is filed under the name Elusimicrobia bacterium CG08_land_8_20_14_0_20_59_10. Its description in RNAcentral is "tRNA-His". It matches the Rfam family "tRNA". Rfam says of the family: Transfer RNA (tRNA) molecules are approximately 80 nucleotides in length. Lineage: Bacteria; Pseudomonadati; Elusimicrobiota. The record is from RNAcentral.
GUGGCUGUAGCUCAGCUGGUUAGAGCGUCCGGUUGUGGUCCGGAAGGUCGGGGGUUCAAAUCCCCUCAGCCACCCCA